Molecule: non-coding RNA, 22 nt
Filed under: Arabidopsis thaliana (thale cress)
Lineage: Eukaryota; Viridiplantae; Streptophyta; Magnoliopsida; Brassicales; Brassicaceae
Source: RNAcentral
UCGCUGUCGCUGGUUUCAGUCG